This 498-nucleotide ribosomal RNA is filed under the name uncultured bacterium. Its description in RNAcentral is "partial 16S ribosomal RNA". It matches the Rfam family "Bacterial small subunit ribosomal RNA", at positions 28 to 507 of the family's 1533-position model. The record is from RNAcentral.
GACGAACGCUGGCGGCGUGCCUAAUACAUGCAAGUCGAACGAGAGCGCCCGGUGCUUGCACUGGUCAAUCUAGUGGCGAACGGGUGAGUAACACGUGGGUAACCUGCCCAUCAGAGGGGGAUAACAUCCGGAAACGGAUGCUAAAACCGCAUAGGUCUUCGAACCGCAUGGUUUGAAGAGGAAAAGAGGCGCAAGCUUCUGCUGAUGGAUGUACCCGCGGUGCAUUAGCUAGUUGGUGAGGUAACGGCUCACCAAGGCCGUGAUGCAUAGCCGACCUGAGAGGGUGAUCGGCCACAUUGGGACUGGGACACGGCCCAAACUCCUACGGGAGGCAGCAGUAGGGAAUCUUCCGCAAUGGACGCAAGUCUGACGGAGCAACGCCGCGUGAGUGAAGAAGGUGUUCGGAUCGUAAAACUCUGUUGUUAGAGAAGAACAAGUGCUAGAGUAACUGUUAGCGCCUUGACGGUAUCUAACCAGAAAGCCACGGCUAACUACGUG